RNAcentral lists this ribosomal RNA (2122 nucleotides) under Staphylococcus aureus. Its description in RNAcentral is "partial 23S ribosomal RNA". It matches the Rfam family "Bacterial large subunit ribosomal RNA", at positions 12 to 2132 of the family's 2925-position model. Lineage: Bacteria; Bacillati; Bacillota; Bacilli; Caryophanales; Staphylococcaceae. The record is from RNAcentral.
UAAGGGCGCACGGUGGAUGCCUUGGCACUAGAAGCCGAUGAAGGACGUUACUAACGACGAUAUGCUUUGGGGAGCUGUAAGUAAGCUUUGAUCCAGAGAUUUCCGAAUGGGGAAACCCAGCAUGAGUUAUGUCAUGUUAUCGAUAUGUGAAUACAUAGCAUAUCAGAAGGCACACCCGGAGAACUGAAACAUCUUAGUACCCGGAGGAAGAGAAAGAAAAUUCGAUUCCCUUAGUAGCGGCGAGCGAAACGGGAAGAGCCCAAACCAACAAGCUUGCUUGUUGGGGUUGUAGGACACUCUAUACGGAGUUACAAAGGACGACAUUAGACGAAUCAUCUGGAAAGAUGAAUCAAAGAAGGUAAUAAUCCUGUAGUCGAAAAUGUUGUCUCUCUUGAGUGGAUCCUGAGUACGACGGAGCACGUGAAAUUCCGUCGGAAUCUGGGAGGACCAUCUCCUAAGGCUAAAUACUCUCUAGUGACCGAUAGUGAACCAGUACCGUGAGGGAAAGGUGAAAAGCACCCCGGAAGGGGAGUGAAAUAGAACCUGAAACCGUGUGCUUACAAGUAGUCAGAGCCCGUUAAUGGGUGAUGGCGUGCCUUUUGUAGAAUGAACCGGCGAGUUACGAUUUGAUGCAAGGUUAAGCAGUAAAUGUGGAGCCGUAGCGAAAGCGAGUCUGAAUAGGGCGUUUAGUAUUUGGUCGUAGACCCGAAACCAGGUGAUCUACCCUUGGUCAGGUUGAAGUUCAGGUAACACUGAAUGGAGGACCGAACCGACUUACGUUGAAAAGUGAGCGGAUGAACUGAGGGUAGCGGAGAAAUUCCAAUCGAACCUGGAGAUAGCUGGUUCUCUCCGAAAUAGCUUUAGGGCUAGCCUCAAGUGAUGAUUAUUGGAGGUAGAGCACUGUUUGGACGAGGGGCCCCUCUCGGGUUACCGAAUUCAGACAAACUCCGAAUGCCAAUUAAUUUAACUUGGGAGUCAGAACAUGGGUGAUAAGGUCCGUGUUCGAAAGGGAAACAGCCCAGACCACCAGCUAAGGUCCCAAAAUAUAUGUUAAGUGGAAAAGGAUGUGGCGUUGCCCAGACAACUAGGAUGUUGGCUUAGAAGCAGCCAUCAUUUAAAGAGUGCGUAAUAGCUCACUAGUCGAGUGACACUGCGCCGAAAAUGUACCGGGGCUAAACAUAUUACCGAAGCUGUGGAUUGUCCUUUGGACAAUGGUAGGAGAGCGUUCUAAGGGCGUUGAAGCAUGAUCGUAAGGACAUGUGGAGCGCUUAGAAGUGAGAAUGCCGGUGUGAGUAGCGAAAGACGGGUGAGAAUCCCGUCCACCGAUUGACUAAGGUUUCCAGAGGAAGGCUCGUCCGCUCUGGGUUAGUCGGGUCCUAAGCUGAGGCCGACAGGCGUAGGCGAUGGAUAACAGGUUGAUAUUCCUGUACCACCUAUAAUCGUUUUAAUCGAUGGGGGGACGCAGUAGGAUAGGCGAAGCGUGCGAUUGGAUUGCACGUCUAAGCAGUAAGGCUGAGUAUUAGGCAAAUCCGGUACUCAUUAAGGCUGAGCUGUGAUGGGGAGAAGACAUUGUGUCUUCGAGUCGUUGAUUUCACACUGCCGAGAAAAGCCUCUAGAUAGAAAAUAGGUGCCCGUACCGCAAACCGACACAGGUAGUCAAGAUGAGAAUUCUAAGGUGAGCGAGCGAACUCUCGUUAAGGAACUCGGCAAAAUGACCCCGUAACUUCGGGAGAAGGGGUGCUCUUUAGGGUUAACGCCCAGAAGAGCCGCAGUGAAUAGGCCCAAGCGACUGUUUAUCAAAAACACAGGUCUCUGCUAAACCGUAAGGUGAUGUAUAGGGGCUGACGCCUGCCCGGUGCUGGAAGGUUAAGAGGAGUGGUUAGCUUCUGCGAAGCUACGAAUCGAAGCCCCAGUAAACGGCGGCCGUAACUAUAACGGUCCUAAGGUAGCGAAAUUCCUUGUCGGGUAAGUUCCGACCCGCACGAAAGGCGUAACGAUUUGGGCACUGUCUCAACGAGAGACUCGGUGAAAUCAUAGUACCUGUGAAGAUGCAGGUUACCCGCGACAGGACGGAAAGACCCCGUGGAGCUUUACUGUAGCCUGAUAUUGAAAUUCGGCACAG